CUACCCAGAAGAGUGGCUCAAGUUCACAUUCAGAAUUUAUUUGUUGAAAGAGUAUCUCCACUUUAUCACAAUCGAGCACUUCCAAUUCUUUCAGAAGUGGCCAGCUUGAACUAAACCUUCUAGAGCAAAAUCUUUUGAGUUGGUGUAAACCGGAGAGUGUGAGAGAGGUAAGGUUAGGGAAUGAGAGUAAAGGUGCUGCUUCAUCUUCAUUUUCAUUGGCAACAAUUGCCUCCACUCCACUCUCCGAUAUAUAAAGGUCCUCAAGUUGCACAAGAGCACUCGCCACAGAAACCGGAAAAAGGUUUAGCAAUUUGUUGCAUCCCCUUACUUGCAAUUUCCUUAAUUUGGAAAAUGAAUUUGCUGGAAGUUGGUCAGGCCACAAUGCUCUUAUAUUAUCUAGUCCGCGUACAGACAAGGACUCCAAACCUGGGAGUGCAACCUGUGCAAUUGAUGAUCCCUUUAGUUAAUAAUAUAUACAUAUACAUUCCUAAUAAUUAGACACAUGUAAAUAGAAAAUAAGAGGUUAAAGGAGAAUAUAUCAGUAUAACAAAGCACAAAAUUUAAACUCUAUUCAAGAAGAUCCAGAAAGAGAAAAGAAAACGCCUUUUGAUUUUGAAGAUCCAAUGAAACUUUAAAAAAAAAAAAAAAAACCUCCAAAUUUUGCUUUCCAAAUGAGGUAAUAGGAGGAUAUUUUUAUUUUAUUUUUUCUUUGCCUCUCUUUCAAAUUUGAUUAACUUCCAUGGAAAACGUAUUUUAACUAGCCAUGGAAAAUGGAUUUUUUUUUUAAAACUUUUAUAUAAGAUACAAGAACUCUUAGAGGGUUACAUUAUGUAAGUAAUACUUUAAAAAAAAUGUUUAAAAAUAUUGUGAUAUCCAAAAAUUUUACUACCUCGGAUUUUAAAUUUUAAAAAAAUUAUUUUUAAAGAAAUAAGGUAAAUCUAUACUUUUUCGUAUAAGAUAUUCUACCUUUAUAUACAAAUUUCUGAUUUUUUUUUUAAAGUGUAUCCAAAUGGACACUAAACUAUCUAGUUUCGAAUUUUUACAACUUUGAAUUGGAUUUUAUGGUAAACUAAUUGACAAUAUAACGCAUGGAUUCAUCUUAGAUUCCAUCUAUAAAUUUUUUAAUUAUCUAAUAUAAGACAUUAUAUUAAUGGGUUGAAUUAAUAAUGUAAUUAUAAUUUAUUUGGCAACUUUCUUCCUUCAAAUAUAUAAGACGAAAAUAUAUUUUAAAAAAUAAAAAAGAAUGAUAAAAAAUAGAAAAUAAAAAUAGCUUAUUUUAUUGUUUUUCUAAGAUGAUUUUGUAGAGUGUUAGUUUAUAGUUUAACUUUAUUUCAUUUUACUUUUAACAUUAUUUAUUGAGGUAUGUUCUUUUUUGAAACUCUUGUUUAGAUUUUAUAGAGAAUAUAAAUUUUAAGAAAAAAAAUGAAAUUUAAAUAAAAUAAGAAUAAAGAAAGGCAAAAGGUGGAUGAAUUUUUUGAAGGCAAAAGUUUGAUAAUUUGGCACUGUCAUGUAAUGGGUGAAAUUUUUAAAUACUCAACAAAGGCUAGUGAAAUUUAAAUUAAAACCUUGACAUGUACCUUUUCGACCAAAAUCUUUGGAGUUGGUGUAAAGUUUUGAGUAUGAGAGAGGUUAGUCUAGGGAAUAUUAUUGCACAUUAGUUCAAAUAAAACAUCAACAUUUUUUUUUGUUAAAUUCUAAAUGAACACCACUAUAAAUUAAUGCGAUUUUGUAUGCUCAAUUAAAUAAACUCGUUCUUAAGGCAUCACAUGAAGUGUUUAAGUCUAAUUAAUAUUAAUUAAAAAUGAUUAUAUCAAAAAAAAUCCAAAGUAAUUUUUUUUUAUCAUAAGUCAAGUAGGAUAGUUUUAUAAAUAAUUGGUUCUAGUUUCUAGUAUUAUUGUACACAAUCGCUAUGUUUGUUGCACCUCCAAAAAAUCUACUACUUGUAAUUAAUUGUAUAUUAUUCUCCAUAUUCACAUCAGUUUAUGUAGUAUGAUUAAUUUAGCAACAAAAUAUAAGUUUACUUGAAAUCGCUUUAAAUUCCUAUGAUAUUAAAGUUUAAGAUUAAAACAAUGUAACAUUAGCCAAAAAGACUAAGAUCUAUAAUGUAACAAAUAAAAUUUAGAAAAUUCAAGGCAGGGUAAACUCGCACCUGUUCUACCCAGAAGAGUGGCUCAAGUUCACAUUCAGAAUUUAUUUGUUGAAAGAGUAUCUCCACUUUAUCACAAUCGAGCACUUCCAAUUCUUUCAGAAGUAGCCAGCUUGAACUAAACCUUCUAGAGCAAAAUCUUUUGAGUUGGUGUAAACCGGAGAGUGUGAGAGAGGUAAGGUUAGGGAAUAAGAGUAAAGGUGCUGCUUCAUCUUCAUUUUCAUUGGCAACAAUUGCCUCCACUCCACUCUCCGAUAUAUAUAGGUCCUCAAGUUGCACAAGAGCACUCGCCACAGAAACCCGAAAAAGGUUUAGCAAUUUGUUGAAUCCCCUUACAUGCAAUUUCCUUAAUUUGGAAAAUGAAUUUGUUGGAAGUUGGUCAGGCCACAAUGCUCUUAUAUUAUCCAGUCCGCAUACAUACAAGGACUCCAAGCCUUGGAGUGCAACCUGUGCAAUUGAUAAUCCCUUUGGUUAAUAAUAUAUACAUAUACAUUCCUAAUGAUUAGACACAUGUAAAUAGAAAAUAAGAGGUUAAAGGAGAAUAUAUCAGUAUAACAAAGCACAAAAUUUAAACUAGAUUAAAGAAGAUCAAGAAAGAGAAAAGAAAAGAAAAAGCCUCCAGAUUUUGAAGAUACAAUGAAACUUAAAAAAAAAAAAAAAAAACCUCCAAAUUUUCCUUUCGAAAUGAGGUAAUAAGAGGAUUUUUUUUUUCUUUUUUCUUUGCCUCUCUUUCAAAUUUGAUUAACUUCUAUGGAAAACGUAUUUUAACUAGUUAUGGAAAACGGAUUUUUUUUUUUAAAAACUUUUAUAUAAGAUACAAGUAAUACUUUAAAAAAAUUGUGAUAUCUAAAAAAUUUUUUGAAAAAUUAUUUUUAAAGAAAUAAGGUAAAUCUAUACUUUUUGUAUAAGAUGUUCUACCUUUGUAUUCAAAUUUCUGAUUUUUUUUUUUUAAAGUGUAUCCAAAUGCACACUAAACUAUCUAGUUUUUAAUUGUUACAACUUUGAAUUGGAUUUUAUGGUAAACUAAUUUACAAGUUAAUGCAUAGAUUCAUCUUAGAUUCCAUCUAUAAAUUUUUUUAAUUAUCUAAUAUAAGACAGUAUAUUAAUGGGUUGAAUUAAUAAUGUAAUUAUAAUUUAUUUGGCAACUUUCUUCCUUCAAAUAUAUAAAAUGAAAAUAAAUUUUAAAAAAUAAAAAAUAAAAAAAAGAUUUUUUUUAUAGUUUUUCUAAGAUGAUUUUGUAGAGUUCUGUUAGUUUAUAGUUUUCACUUUAUUUAUUGAGGUAUGUUCUUUUUUGAAACUCUUGUUUAGAUUUUAUUGAGAAUAUAAAUUUUAAGAAAAAAAAUAAAAUUUAAAUAAAAUAAGAAUAAAGAAAGGCAAAAGCUGGAUGAAUUUUUUUAAGGCAAAAGUUUGAUAAUUUGGCACUCUCAUGUAAUGGGUGAAAUUUUUAAAUACUCAACAAAGGCUAGUGAAAUUUAAAUUAAAACCAUGACAUGUACCUUUUAGACCAAAAUCUUUGGAGUUGGUGUAAUGUUUUGAGUAUGAGAGAGGUUAGUCUAGGGAAUAUUAUUGCACAUUAGUUCAAAUAAAACAUCAACAUUUUUUUUUGUUAAAUUCUAAAUGAACACCACUAUAAAUUAAUGCGAUUUUGUAUGCUCAAUUAAAUAAACUCGUUCUUAAGGCAUCACAUGAAGUGUUUAAGUCUAAUUAAUAUUAAUUAAAAAUGAUUAUAGUAAAAAAAAUCCAAAGUAAUUUUUUUUUAUCAUAAGUCAAGUAGGAUAGUUUUAUAAAUAAUUGGUUCUAGUUUCUAGUAUUAUUGUAGACAAUCGCUAUGUUUGUUGCACCUCCAAAAAAUCUACUACUUGUAAUUAAUUGUAUAUUAUUCUCCAUAUUCACAUCAGUUUAUGUAGUAUGAUUAAUUUAGCAACAAAAUAUAAGUUUACUUGAAAUGGCUUUAAAUUCCUAUGAUAUUAAAGUUUAAGAUUAAAACAAUGUAACAUUAGCAAAAAAGAUUAAGAUCUAUAAUGUAACAAAUAAAAUUUAGAAAAUUCAAGGCAGGGUAAACUCGCACCUGUUCUACCCAGAAGAGUGGCUCAAGUUCACAUUCAGAAUUUAUUUGUUGAAAGAGUAUCUCCACUUUAUCACAAUCGAGCACUUCCAAUUCUUUCAGAAGUAGCCAGCUUGAACUAAACCUUCUAGAGCAAAAUCUUUUGAGUUGGUGUAAACCGGAGAGUGUGAGAGAGGUAAGGUUAGGGAAUAAGAGUAAAGGUGCUGCUUCAUCUUCAUUUUCAUUGGCAACAAUUGCCUCCACUCCACUCUCUGAUAUAUAUAGGUCCUCAAGUUGCACAAGAGCACUCGCCACAGAAACCCGAAAAAGGUUUAGCAAUUUGUUGAAUCCCCUUACAUGCAAUUUCCUUAAUUUGGAAAAUGAAUUUGUUGGAAGUUGGUCAGGCCACAAUGCUCUUAUAUUAUCCAGUCCGCAUACAUACAAGGACUCCAAGCCUGGGAGUGCAACCUGUGCAAUUGAUAAUCCCUUUGGUUAAUAAUAUAUACAUAUACAUUCCUAAUAAUUAGACACAUGUAAAUAGAAAAUAAGAGGUUAAAGG
This 4749-nucleotide long non-coding RNA is filed under the name Vitis vinifera (wine grape). Its description in RNAcentral is "long non-coding RNA (VVIN_LNC003280)". The record is from RNAcentral. Lineage: Eukaryota; Viridiplantae; Streptophyta; Magnoliopsida; Vitales; Vitaceae.